This is a long non-coding RNA of Prunus persica (peach), 1955 nucleotides long. RefSeq lists it as uncharacterized. The record is from RefSeq and is a predicted model, not a curated record. Lineage: Eukaryota; Viridiplantae; Streptophyta; Magnoliopsida; Rosales; Rosaceae. The transcript has 2 exons.
AUUCUAUAUUGCCUAAAAACAUGUACAUGGCGUUGUAUUCGUUCCAUUGAAACAGUGUCUUCGCCAGGGGGUCUGAAUGUUGAAAAUUGUUGUUUGGAUAAAGUGUUGGACUUUUCGUGCCGGCCUUGGAUUACAUCAACUGAAUCUAGAUCUUUCGAAUCAAACAAAAAACAAAUCUACAACUUCUUUCGAAUUAAACAAUACCAACUUGGCAACUUGCUUCUUUACAAAAUAUUUAGUAUAUUCCUCGCAUUGUUUAUAACUUGAUUUGCCUUCACCAGAAGCUCAAGUCUUCAUAUCUGCGUUGUUUAAAAAACAGAAACAAAGGAACCAUUGAAAUGUCAGCCUUCAACACAAAAUCAAUUAAGAAUAAGAUCAAUUAAGAACGAGUUAGGAUUUGAUAACAUCUGGAUUCAUCUGAAGCCCCUCAGGCAUGAUUGAGCUCAGUUUGAAAUACAUUUUGUGAGCUUUGAAGGGCCCCGACUUGACUUGAUUUGAUUUUUAAAAUGGCCCAUUAGCCAUAGCCAUGACAUGAGGAAUUGCCCAAUAACAACACCAUGCAUCAAUGAGAGGCUAGCAGAUGAAGGCCCAUAUCACCAACUGAGAGUUUUUGGGUAGGCUUUCUCCAUCUGUUGCAAAAUCCCAUGGUUUGUGCAUCUUGUUUGGUGCACUUAAAAGGUCAAGAAAUCCAAUGUGCCAUGAAAAAAGUAUGAGCUUGGGUUUAGGUGGAGUUUUUAUAAUGCAGGGCUAAUAUUGAGGGGUUACAAUGAGGAGAUUCAAUCCAAUAAUAAUUAUGCACUUGAUCGAACGACUACUAAGUACCUCCUCAUUCUAGCCACCCUGUUUUUUUAAUGAGUAUGAGUGGACUUGGGCAGCCUCUUCUCACCAUACAAUCUAACAAACUUGAGAGUGCAAAUUUUGAUGUUUACUGUAUUUUUCAUAGUUUCUUGAAUUUGACUAAUCCAGAUCAUCACAUGACAUCCAGUGCAUUCAUCAAUAAGAGAGUCAAAGGUCAUGUAUCAGACUCAUAUCAUGCAUUAUAAUUUGAUUGUCACCGUCGGGUGCUACCAAGCACCGCCGGACACGUUGAGGAGCUAGAACUCGUGUAAGGGCGGAUGCAAGCAGCUACUGGUUGGACCGGGUGAGCUGACACUCUGUCUCCUAAACUCGUUCAUCUUGGUCGAAGCGAGAAUGGGCCAUAAUUACGACCCUAUGCUUUUGGGCCAAUCACGACAAGACAGCCUACAGCCUAUUUCUAGCUCAAACCCAAGCACUCUUUUUAUGUCCCAUCAAAUGAGAAAUAGGCUGAAUUUUUUUUUAAAUAUAACCGAUAAUUCAAAUUACGAAGAGAGUAAGAACAGUUUCUAACACACAUUACAAAUGUGUCAUGAGAUUCAAACACGAGAUUACUGAUAUGUUUAAUCAAAGUUCUUUUCCACCGGUCUAGACCCUAUUAGCAACCUUUAUAGGUAUAUAUAUUGAAAGAAUAUAAAAAAAUUUCCACUAUUAUAACCAAUCAUCUAUAUUUAGCCUUUAGAUAUAUAAAGAAUAAACUAAUAAAAUCCGUUUGCAAACAAAGGACAAACAAUGGUCUCCCCAAUAAACAAUGUAAUUUUCAAGUAAGAGCUGGAUAAAAUAUAAUUACAUAUUACAAUAAUAUAUAAUUUAUCAAGCACAGGUCUCCAAACCAAAGUUCCGAGGCACAUAUUUUAAAUCGCAUGUCCUCCGCCGGCAAUAACUGGACCAAUUCUAUGUCCUUAUUUUAUUUACUUGUCGACAGAUUCAAAACUUAUGUCUUAUCCUUAAUUAGCUAUUAAAAUUUAAUUGCUUGUAUGAAGAUCUGUCAUCAGUCACGAUCAUUUUCGCAUAUCAUUGAGGGAUAUGUUAUAUUAUUAGGUCUAAAUUUAUAGCCCACCCUAGUAUACUAUUUUAUCCCAAUACUUUUUAUUAUUUUA